This 501-nucleotide ribosomal RNA is filed under the name Ochromonas sp. CCMP1393. RNAcentral describes it as "partial Bacterial large subunit ribosomal RNA". It matches the Rfam family "Bacterial large subunit ribosomal RNA", at positions 1105 to 1718 of the family's 2925-position model. Lineage: Eukaryota; Chrysophyceae; Chromulinales; Chromulinaceae. The record is from RNAcentral.
CUUAGAAGCAGCCAUCCUUUAAAGAAAGCGUAACAGCUCACUCAUCAAGCGAUCCUGCGCCGAAAAUGUAACGGGGCUAAAGCCAUUUACCGAAAUUGUGGGCUCGUAAGAGCGGUAGCGGAGCGUUCCGUAAGCCUGCGAAGGUGCACUGCGAGGUGUGCUGGAGGUAUCGGAAGUGAGAAUGUUGACAUGAGUAGCGACAAAGCGGGUGAGAGACCCGCUCGCCGAAAAUCCAAGGGUUCCUGCGUAAAGCUAAUCUGCGCAGGGUUAGCCGGCCCCUAAGGCGAGGCCGAAAGGCGUAGCCGAUGGGAACCACGUUAAUAUUCGUGGGCCUGGGAGUGUGUGACGGAUUUCGAAAGUUGUCAUCCCUUAUCGGAUUGGGAUGGCGGCCUGGAAGUCCCUGGAAAUAGCCCUCCCAUAUAGACCGUACCCUAAACCGACACAGGUGGAUAGGUAGAGAAUACCAAGGCGCUUGAGAGAACUCGGGUGAAGGAACUAGGC